This is a non-coding RNA of Phrynosoma platyrhinos (Desert horned lizard), 72 nucleotides long. Lineage: Eukaryota; Metazoa; Chordata; Lepidosauria; Squamata; Phrynosomatidae. The record is from the annotation of a GenBank genome assembly.
AGAGAGAUGGCAUAGUGGUUUGAGUGCUGGACUAUUAUUCUGGAAGCCAGGGUUCAAAUCCCAGCUGAGCCA